UUCAAUUAAAAGUCAGCAUCACUGAAUUGUUCAUCAGCUCUUGUAUUGGAUCUCAGACUGACCAUCAGAGUCUGUCGCUAUGCCCUGCCCACAUUCUAUUGCAUAGGCUGACGUCACUGCUCAUCUGUCUAGAAUCCCUUGUUUUCAUUUGGGCUCAUUUAGUCAAAUUCCCAAGGAGGAGUUUGUCAAAUGACGACCCCUGGUUUUUCGCCCCCAAAUGGUCGAUCCAAACCAAAAAUUAGACAUGUUUACUUUAUGAAAUGGCCUCUGAGUGCGUGUUCAACCAAUAUGGAGAAGAUGAGCCUCUGGGAGUCACAUGUUCACAUCAGCGUGUCAAUCAAACAUGGCAGCUACUCACACUCUGUGGCGAGAUGAAAGCCUCCUCCGCCGUCAUCAAGAGAACAACAAAGAAGACAAGCAAAAAAAGCCCCCUGGGAUGCUGUCUGCCAGCGAUGUGGCUUUCAACCUCCAGAGAGAACAUCUUUUGAAAGAGCCAGGAGACCAUAAUGAAGUCACAGAGUGGCACAAUUAUUUCCCAAAGAAGGAGCAUUAAUGUACUUCACAAUUCCCCGCGGAGAAGUGUGAUGACAAUUGGUUUGUACAGCUUUGAUCGCUGCUUUAAAUACUGGCCAGGAUCAACUGCAGGGUGAGGCCCCUGUGCCACUGGUUGCAGUAGGUGGUCAUCGUGUCAACGUACGUGACAAGAGAGAAAUCAAAGG
This is a long non-coding RNA of Dunckerocampus dactyliophorus (ringed pipefish), 719 nucleotides long. RefSeq lists it as uncharacterized. The transcript is spliced from 4 exons. The record is from RefSeq and is a predicted model, not a curated record. NCBI's taxonomy places the organism in Eukaryota, Metazoa, Chordata, Actinopteri, Syngnathiformes, Syngnathidae.